CGUCAUCGUCGUCAUCGUCAAU
Molecule: microRNA, 22 nt
Filed under: Hyalella azteca
Lineage: Eukaryota; Metazoa; Arthropoda; Malacostraca; Amphipoda; Hyalellidae
Description: miR-598
Source: RNAcentral